GGUGCCGUGGUGUAGCCGUUAGCACUCAGGGCUCUGAAACAUACGACAGGAGUUCAAAUCUCCCCAGGAGCU
Non-coding RNA from Teladorsagia circumcincta, 72 nucleotides. Lineage: Eukaryota; Metazoa; Nematoda; Chromadorea; Rhabditida; Trichostrongylidae. The record is from the annotation of a GenBank genome assembly.